This 21-nucleotide non-coding RNA is filed under the name Caenorhabditis elegans. Lineage: Eukaryota; Metazoa; Nematoda; Chromadorea; Rhabditida; Rhabditidae. The record is from RNAcentral.
UGUUCCAGAUUGAAUAUUGUA